CGGACGGGUGAGUAACGCGUGAGAAUCUAACUUCAGGACGGGGACAACAGUUGGAAACGACUGCUAAUACCCGAUGUGCCGCAAGGUGAAACCUAAUUGGCCUGAAGAAGAGCUUGCGUCUGAUUAGCUAGUUGGUGGGGUAAAAGCCUACCAAGGCGACGAUCAGUAGCUGGUCUGAGAGGAUGAGCAGCCACACUGGGACUGAGACACGGCCCAGACUCCUACGGGAGGCAGCAGUGGGGAAUUUUCCGCAAUGGGCGAAAGCCUGACGGAGCAACGCCGCGUGAGGGAGGAAGGUCUUUGGAUUGUAAACCUCUUUUCUCAAGGAAGAAGUUCUGACGGUACUUGAGGAAUCAGCCUCGGCUAACUCCGUGCCAGCAGCCGCGGUAAUACGGGGGAGGCAAGCGUUAUCCGGAAUUAUUGGGCGUAAAGCGUCCGCAGGUGGUCAGCCAAGUCUGCCGUCAAAUCAGGUUGCUUAACGACCUAAAGGCGGUGGAAACUGGCAGACUAGAGAGCAGUAGGGGUAGCAGGAAUUCCCAGUGUAGCGGUGAAAUGCGUAGAGAUUGGGAAGAACAUCGGUGGCGAAAGCGUGCUACUGGGCUGUAUCUGACACUCAGGGACGAAAGCUAGGGGA
RNAcentral lists this ribosomal RNA (634 nucleotides) under uncultured cyanobacterium. RNAcentral's name for it is "bacterial SSU rRNA". It matches the Rfam family "Bacterial small subunit ribosomal RNA", at positions 99 to 767 of the family's 1533-position model. Lineage: Bacteria; Bacillati; Cyanobacteriota. The record is from RNAcentral.